GCACUGCUGUGGAGUCCCACAAUAGGACGAAACGGCCGUCCAGUGC
Schistosoma haematobium is the source of this 46-nucleotide non-coding RNA. The record is from Rfam. Lineage: Eukaryota; Metazoa; Platyhelminthes; Trematoda; Strigeidida; Schistosomatidae.